AUUAGUCUCUGCCCGCAUUUUAGUUCCCACCCUUUAACUGCCCUCUGCUCAGUCAACCCUGCCCCACAACCACUUCCCUGGACCUGGCCCUCGCCCCUCACCUCGAGGCUACCCACCCAGGGAACCCUCUUGAACUCACCAAGCAAACUGGAAAUUCUGGCCCUCUGAGAACAGAUUGAGGGAAGUGAGAUUCCAGGAGCUCACAGUCUGAGCAGGGAGAGGUUCACUGGAUAGUCGUGCACUAGACUUCGAAGCCAGGGGAUCCUUGGCUGAGCUAUGAUGUUUUCAAUGGUUUAGAACCUGGUGACCUUUGAGAACAUGGCUGUGGACUUCACCCAGAAGGAGUGGGCAUUGCUGGAAAUGUCCGAAAGAUCCCUGUACAGGGAGGUGACGCUGGAGAACUUCAAGAACCUGGCCUCGCUUGGUAUCUGAAGGUCUGAUCAUCACUCAGCAUAGGAAAAAGGGAUUUUUAGAUGCAUAUGAAUUACCAAAACUGAACCAAGAAGAUAAUAAAAUUUUAAAUAGUCCAGUAACAGGUGAUGAAACCGAGGCAGUCAUAAAAAUCCUACCAGCUAAGAAAAAUCCAGGACCUGAUGGAUUCACCAAUGAAUUCUACAAAAACUUCAGGGGAAAUUUAAUCCCAAUACUCCUCAAACUCAGGAUGAAAUUGAGAGGGAAGGAGUACUGCCAAACUCAUACAUGGAAGCUAGCAUUACCAUGAUACCAAAUUCAGACAAGGACUUAACAAAAAAAGGAAACGACAAGCCAAUCUUUUUUAAUGAACAUAUGUUACAGCUUGUAUCUAAAUGUCCCCCAAAAGCCGCAUGCAGUCACAGGUGGGGCUUUUGGGAGGUGGCUGGAUAUAGGGUGUGUGACUAUUUAGGGUGGGUGAUAAGUAAAUUAG
Molecule: long non-coding RNA, 904 nt
Organism: Heterocephalus glaber (naked mole-rat)
Lineage: Eukaryota; Metazoa; Chordata; Mammalia; Rodentia; Bathyergidae
Source: Ensembl